RNAcentral lists this ribosomal RNA (1478 nucleotides) under uncultured Bordetella sp. RNAcentral describes it as "partial 16S-23S ribosomal RNA intergenic spacer". It matches the Rfam family "Bacterial small subunit ribosomal RNA". The record is from RNAcentral. Lineage: Bacteria; Pseudomonadati; Pseudomonadota; Betaproteobacteria; Burkholderiales; Alcaligenaceae.
AGUUCGAUCCUGGCUCAGAUUGAACGCUGGCGGGAUGCUUUACACAUGCAAGUCGAACGGCAGCACGGACUUCGGUCUGGUGGCGAGUGGCGAACGGGUGAGUAAUGUAUCGGAACGUGCCUAGUAGCGGGGAUAACUACGAAAGCAAGAUAAUACCGCAUACGCCCUUCGGGGAAAGCGGGGACCUUUCGGGCCUCGCACUAUUAGAGCGGCCGAUAUCGGAUUAGCUAGUUGGUGGGGUAACGGCUCACCAUUAAGGCGACGAUCCGUAGCUGGUUUGAGAGGACGACCAGCCACACUGGGACUGAGACACGGCCCAGACUCCUACGGGAGGCAGCAGUGGGGAAUUUUGGACAAUGGGGGAAACCCUGAUCCAGCCAUCCCGCGUGUGCGAUGAAGGCCUUCGGGUUGUAAAGCACUUUUGGCAGGAAAGAAACGGCACGGGAUAAUACCCCGUGCAACUGACGGUACCUGCAGAAUAAGCACCGGCUAACUACGUGCCAGCAGCCGCGGUAAUACGUAGGGUGCAAGCGUUAACGUGGAAUUACUGGGCGUAAAGCGUGCGCAGGCGGUUCGGAAAGAAAGAUGCGGAAAUCCCAGAGCUUAACUUUGAACUGCAUUUUUAACUACCGAGCUAGAGUGUCGAGGAGGUGGAAUUCCGCGUGUAGCAGUGAAAUGCGUAGAUAUGCGGAGGAACACCGAUGGCGAAGGCAGCCUGGGAUAACACUGACGCUCAUGCACGAAAGCGUGGGGAGCAAACAGGAUUAGAUACCCUGGUAGUCCACGCCCUAAACGAUGUCAACUAGCUGUUGGGGCCUUCGGGCCUUUGGUGGCGCAGCUAACGCGCGAAGUUGACCGCCUGGGGAGUACGGUCGCAAGAUUAAAACCCAAAGGAAUUGACGGGACCCGCACAAGCGGUGGAUGAUGUGGAUUAACGGAUGCAACGCGAAAAACCUUACCUACCCUUGAGGAUAUUCGAAUCCCGAAGAGAUUUGGGAGUGCUCGCAAGAGAACCGGAACACAGGUGCUGCAUGGUUGUCGUCAGCUCGUGUCGUGAGAUGCUGGGUUAAGUCCCGCAACGAGCGCAACUCCUUGUCAUUAGUUGCUACGAAAGGGCACUCUAAUGAGAUCGCCGGUGACAAACCGAGGAAGGUGGGGAUGACGUCAAGUCCUCAUGGCCCUUAUGGGUAGGGCUUCACACGUCAUACAAUGGUCGGGACAGAGGGUCGCCAACCCGCGAGGGGGCGCCAAUCCCAGAAACCCGAUCAGUCCGAUCGCAGUCUGGGUAACUCGACUGCGUGAAGUCGGAAUCGCUAGUAAUCGCGGAUCAGCAUGUCGCGGUGAAUACGUUCCCGGGUCUUGUACACACCGCCCGUCACACCAUGGGAGUGGGUUUUACCAGAAGUAGCUAGCCUAACCGUAAGGAGGGCGAUUACCACGGUAGGAUUCAUGACUGGGGUGAAGUCGUAACAAGGUAG